UACAGAGGGGGCAAGCGUUGUUCGGAAUUACUGGGCGUAAAGGGCGCGUAGGUGGCCUUCUAAGUCAUGCGUGAAAUCCCUCGGCUCAACCCGGGAACUGCGUCCGAUACUGGAAGGCUUGAAUCCGGGAGAGGGAUGUGGAAUUCCAGGUGUAGCGGUGAAAUGCGUAGAUAUCUGGAGGAACACCGGUGGCGAAGGCGACAUCCUGGACCGGUAUUGACGCUGAGGCGCGAAAGCCAGGGGAGCAAACAGG
This 253-nucleotide ribosomal RNA is filed under the name uncultured bacterium. RNAcentral's name for it is "partial 16S ribosomal RNA". It matches the Rfam family "Bacterial small subunit ribosomal RNA", at positions 524 to 776 of the family's 1533-position model. The record is from RNAcentral.